RNAcentral lists this ribosomal RNA (254 nucleotides) under uncultured bacterium. RNAcentral's name for it is "partial 16S ribosomal RNA". It matches the Rfam family "Bacterial small subunit ribosomal RNA", at positions 524 to 776 of the family's 1533-position model. The record is from RNAcentral.
CACGUAGGGUGCGAGCGUUGUCCGGAAUUAUUGGGCGUAAAGAGCUCGUAGGCGGUGUGUCGCGUCGGCCGUGAAAACCUGCAGCUUAACUGUGGGCUUGCGGUCGAUACGGGCAUCACUGGAGUUCGGCAGGGGAGACUGGAAUUCCUGGUGUAGCGGUGAAAUGCGCAGAUAUCAGGAAGAACACCCGUGGCGAAGGCGGCUCUCUGGGACGGUACUGACGCUGAGACGCGAAAGCGUGGGGAGCGGACAGG